RNAcentral lists this non-coding RNA (24 nucleotides) under Cricetulus griseus (Chinese hamster). The record is from RNAcentral. Lineage: Eukaryota; Metazoa; Chordata; Mammalia; Rodentia; Cricetidae.
UAAACAGGAUGAAGGAGCUGCAGC